UACGAAGGGGGCUAGCGUUGUUCGGAAUCACUGGGCGUAAAGCGCUCGUAGGCGGAUUUUUAAGUCAGGGGUGAAAUCCCGAGGCUCAACCUCGGAACUGCCUUUGAUACUGGGAAUCUCGAGUCCGGGAGAGGUGAGUGGAACUGCGAGUGUAGAGGUGAAAUUCGUAGAUAUUCGCAAGAACACCAGUGGCGAAGGCGGCUCACUGGCCCGGUACUGACGCUGAGGAGCGAAAGCGUGGGGAGCAAACAGG
RNAcentral lists this ribosomal RNA (253 nucleotides) under uncultured bacterium. RNAcentral's name for it is "partial 16S ribosomal RNA". It matches the Rfam family "Bacterial small subunit ribosomal RNA", at positions 524 to 776 of the family's 1533-position model. The record is from RNAcentral.